RNAcentral lists this ribosomal RNA (1395 nucleotides) under Ophiophthalmus normani. Its description in RNAcentral is "16S ribosomal RNA". The stretch from base 954 to 1294 matches the Rfam family "Bacterial large subunit ribosomal RNA", at positions 2074 to 2646 of the family's 2925-position model. The record is from RNAcentral. Lineage: Eukaryota; Metazoa; Echinodermata; Ophiuroidea; Amphilepidida; Ophiacanthidae. RNAcentral also lists the same sequence under 1 other name.
AUUAAGGCUAUAAUAAAAUUGUUAAUAAUUAAAAUAAUAUAAAAUAUUAUAAAUAUAAUUGAAUAAAUAGUAGGGUUUACUAAAAUAUUUAAAUAGUUUCCAAUAGGUUUAACCGUGAGGGUAGUAAAAUUUAGUAAUAUUAUUUAAAUAGAAGAAAUAAAUUUAUAUAUACCUUUUGUAUUAUGGUUGAUUAAAAUUAAAGUAAAAUUAUACUAAGAACGAAGGCAAGUGAGCAAAUAGUUUCCCCAAUUUGGUUGGAGUUUUCUAGUUGUUGAAAAAGUAUGAAAAGAGAAUCUAUUAGUGGUGAUAUGCCAAACGAACUUGCGGAUAGCUUUUUUUCAGAGAAGGGAGUGCAAGCUUCGUUUAUAUUUAUAAAGUUAUAAGGAGGCGGUUGACCGAGUCCUUAUUAAUAGUAAUAACUAGAAAAUUUAAGUAAAAUCAAUAAAAAUUUUUAUAGGUUUUAAAGUAGAUUUUUAGCAAUCAUCUUAAAAGAGUGCGUUUGAGCACAAGGACAUAAGGAGAAUAAAAUUAAUGAAAAUAGUUUUGAGCUUAUUAUAGAUUAUCUGAAUAUUCUAUUAAAUGAAAUAAUGAUGGUUAAAUUAGUAGAUAACUUCUAGUUAAAGUAAUAAAAGUUUAAAUUAUAGAAAACAAAAUAAUAUAUUAUUAACAUAUUUUCUUAUUUUAGUAGAAGAAACAUAGAAUAAUUAUAGGAAGGAACUCGGCAAAUUUUAUCCUCGCCUGUUUACCUAAAACAUUGCUUCCGGAACAAGAUCGAGAGGUACGACCUGCCCGGUGACCUAAUGGUUAAACGGCUGCAGUACUCUGACUGUGCAAAGGUAGCAUAAUAAUUUGCCUAGUAAUUUUAGGCUGGAAUCAACGGUUAGACGAAGGAAAAGCUGUCUCCCUUUAAUUUAAUUGAAUUUAAUUUUAAAGUGAAGAAGCUUUAAUAAAAGAGUGGGACGAGAAGACCCUAUUGAGCUUUAAUCUAAUUAAAAAUUUAUAUUUUAAAAAGAUUUUGAUUGGGGCAAUCCUUUUUAUAAUAAAACAAAGGUAAGGAUAUAAUGAAUUUAUACUAAGUUAAGACCCUAAAGUUUUAGGAAUAAGAAAAAGUUACCAUAGGGAUAACAGCGUUAUUUUUCUUGAGAGUACAUAUUGACAGAAAAGUUUGCGACCUCGAUGUUGGAUUAAGAUUUCCUGGAUGUGCAGCAGCCUCUAAGGGUUGGUUUGUUCAACCAUAAAAAUCUUACGUGAUCUGAGUUAAGUCCGUUGUGAGACAGGACAGUUUCUAUCUACUAUUAACUUUUAUUUUGUACGAAAGGACUUUUAAAGGAAGAAAUAUAUAUAUAUAUAAUUCUUAUGUUAUCAUGAGAUAUAAAUAAAUCUAUAUAAGGGUUU